GAGGAAUUAGUUAAAACAUAACCUUAGAAUGUCAAACUAAAAUUAUCAAUAUUGAUAUUCCUCU
Molecule: transfer RNA, 64 nt
Filed under: Pycnoscelus indicus
Lineage: Eukaryota; Metazoa; Arthropoda; Insecta; Blattodea; Blaberidae
Also listed under: 1 other name
Description: tRNA-Asp
Source: RNAcentral